Molecule: ribosomal RNA, 497 nt
Filed under: uncultured bacterium
Lineage: Bacteria
Description: partial 16S ribosomal RNA
Rfam family: Bacterial small subunit ribosomal RNA
Source: RNAcentral
GAUGAACGCUGGCGGCGUGCCUAAUACAUGCAAGUCGAGCGAACAGACGAGGAGCUUGCUCCUCUGACGUUAGCGGCGGACGGGUGAGUAACACGUGGAUAACCUACCUAUAAGACUGGGAUAACUUCGGGAAACCGGAGCUAAUACCGGAUAAUAUAUUGAACCGCAUGGUUCAAUAGUGAAAGACGGUUUUGCUGUCACUUAUAGAUGGAUCCGCGCCGCAUUAGCUAGUUGGUAAGGUAACGGCUUACCAAGGCAACGAUGCGUAGCCGACCUGAGAGGGUGAUCGGCCACACUGGAACGGAGACACGGUCCAGACUCCUACGGGAGGCAGCAGUAGGGAAUCUUCCGCAAGGGGCGAAAGCCUGACGGAGCAACGCCGCGUGAGUGAUGAAGGUCGUCGGAUCGUAAAACUCUGUUAUUAGGGAAGAACAAAUGUGUAAGUAACUAUGCACGUCUUGACGGUACCUAAUCAGAAAGCCACGGCUAACUACGUG